Loxodonta africana (African savanna elephant) is the source of this 55-nucleotide transfer RNA. It matches the Rfam family "tRNA", at positions 10 to 63 of the family's 71-position model. Rfam says of the family: Transfer RNA (tRNA) molecules are approximately 80 nucleotides in length. The record is from Rfam. NCBI's taxonomy places the organism in Eukaryota, Metazoa, Chordata, Mammalia, Proboscidea, Elephantidae.
ACAAAAAGUUAAUGUGCUUGGCUGAUAACCAAAAGGUUGGUGGUGCCAAUCCACC